RNAcentral lists this ribosomal RNA (467 nucleotides) under uncultured Rhodocyclaceae bacterium. RNAcentral describes it as "bacterial SSU rRNA". It matches the Rfam family "Bacterial small subunit ribosomal RNA", at positions 916 to 1381 of the family's 1533-position model. The record is from RNAcentral. Lineage: Bacteria; Pseudomonadati; Pseudomonadota; Betaproteobacteria; Rhodocyclales; Rhodocyclaceae.
ACGGGACCCGCACAAGCGUGGAUGAUGUGGAUUAAUUCGAUGCAACGCGAAAACCUUACCUACCCUUGACAUGUCCGGAAUCCCGAAGAGAUUUGGGAGUGCUCGCAAGAGAGCCGGAACACAGGUGCUGCAUGGCUGUCGUCAGCUCGUGUCGUGAGAUGUUGGGUUAAGUCCCGCAACGAGCGCAACCCUUGUCAUUAGUUGCCAUCAUUUGGUUGGGCACUCUAAUGAGACUGCCGGUGACAAACCGGAGGAAGGUGGGGAUGACGUCAAGUCCUCAUGGCCCUUAUGGGUAGGGCUUCACACGUCAUACAAUGGUCGGUACAGAGGGUUGCCAACCCGCGAGGGGGAGCUAAUCCCACAAAGCCGAUCGUAGUCCGGAUCGCAGUCUGCAACUCGACUGCGUGAAGUCGGAAUCGCUAGUAAUCGUGGAUCAGCAUGUCACGGUGAAUACGUUCCCGGGUCUU